This 518-nucleotide ribosomal RNA is filed under the name uncultured bacterium. Its description in RNAcentral is "bacterial SSU rRNA". It matches the Rfam family "Bacterial small subunit ribosomal RNA", at positions 26 to 518 of the family's 1533-position model. The record is from RNAcentral.
AGGACGAACGCUGGCGGCGUGCCUAAUACAUGCAAGUCGAACGGCUUUUCUAUGGAAGCUUGCUUCACUGAGAAGAUAGUGGCGAACGGGUGAGUAACACGUGGGUAACCUGCCCAUAAGAGGGGGAUAACAUCCGGAAACGGGUGCUAAUACCGCAUAGUUUUCUUGAUCGCAUGAUUGAGAAAGGAAAGAUGGCCUUUGUGCUGUCGCUUAUGGAUGGACCCGCGGCGUAUUAGUUAGUUGGUGAGGUAACGGCUCACCAAGACGAUGAUACGUAGCCGACCUGAGAGGGUGAUCGGCCACAUUGGGACUGAGACACGGCCCAAACUCCUACGGGAGGCAGCAGUAGGGAAUCUUCCGCAAUGGACGAAAGUCUGACGGAGCAACGCCGCGUGAGUGAAAGAAGGUUUUCGGAUCGUAAAACUCUGUUGUCAGAGAAGAACAAGUUGGAGAGUAACUGCUCCAGCCUUGACGGUAUCUGACCAGAAAGCCACGGCUAACUACGUGCCAGCCGCCGC